This 1166-nucleotide long non-coding RNA is filed under the name Dasypus novemcinctus (nine-banded armadillo). RNAcentral describes it as "lncRNA (ENSDNOG00000050348.1)". The record is from RNAcentral. Lineage: Eukaryota; Metazoa; Chordata; Mammalia; Cingulata; Dasypodidae.
AAAGAGGGAAAGGAGCAAUCGGAAUGCAUUCAGCUCUUUUGGGGAAAAGAUGUGUUGUGGAGUUAACAACCUCUGGCAGAACACAACACGCUAGUGUCACGCCUUGUUCUGGACCUCGCCGGGGGGGGACCGCCCCUAUACAAUGGAAAGGAAACACAGCACUCCGUGAUAGUUGAAGGCUCUAAGUUGCGUUUUACAAGUUCACCAUGAAGGAAGGUGGGAAGACUUCGGAAAGAAAAUCCUGGCUGAGGGGAAGUCCAGAGUUUAUUUAAUCUGAAGCCUCUUCAAACUCUAAGAUGAGUCCCUGGACAAGGACUCGUUCCUGACACCUUCUUCCUUCGUAAGUUGUUUGUUUGACUUCUGCAAAGCGACGGGGCAAAUGUAUCCUGUGCAGGGAGACCGGCCGGGUCUCGCCUGCCCCUUCUGCAGCCAGGGAAGGAAGCCUGUGCCCCCCUGGUCAGGAGGGACCACGGGCGGUGGGGAGAGCCGCCGUGCCCGAGGAACCAGCCCUGGACUGUGGCCAGUCCCACGGUCCCUCAGAUGUGGUGGGUCCUGCCCCAAACUCAAGUGUCCACAAAGGAGGAAGGGGCGCACAGUUACCAAACUUCCUGGGACCCUGGUGGGGCUCGAGUCAAGCAAUGCACGUGGAAGCAUUUUACAAAGGGCCGAAAGAAGCGGCCCAGCUUCGUGACUUUGAAGGAGCCUGCUUUGGAGGGGCUGGAAGGCCACGCAGAGAGGACAUUUAACAGGCGACCCAGAGAGCAAAGGAGCAACCCCGACGCUGCAGGAAAGCGUCCAGCGCAGGUAGAAGCACACUGCACAGAGGCCAGCUACCCUGGGUUUCCAGGCUCCCUGCGGUUGUGAGCUGCCAUGCCACUCGUUCUGUCCAAUGCAGUGUGAGUGACGGAUGCACCUGCAGCUCCCAGCGCUGGCCUGUAAGAGCCUCAUGCCCAUGUCCUUCCCUGAGAGUUCCCUUCCAACUGAUGGAGACGCAUAGAACGGAGUCCAGCUUGGAGCCUCGUGUCGUGGAAAUGCUGGUGGCACCAAGCCUACAUGCCUCCAACCUGGGGAGUCGUUACUGAGAAAGCAAUAAGCUUCAGCCCUCAGCCUCUGAGUGCUGGGAACGUGCUUAUUAUAGGCGUUUGCCCAAUCCUUACUUAGAGGGU